UGGGGAAUAUUGGGCAAUGGGCGAAAGCCUGACCCAGCAACGCCGCGUGGAGGAAGAAGGUUUUCGGAUCGUAAACUCCUGUCCUCAGGGAAGAGAAGGAGACGGUACCUGAGGAGGAAGCCCCGGCUAAUUACGUGCCAGCAGCCGCGGUAACACGUAAGUUGCGAGCGUUGUUCGGAAUUAUUGGGCGUAAAGGGUAUGUAGGCGGUUCUGCAAGUCUGGUGUGAAAUGCCGGGGCUCAACCCCGGAACUGCGUUGGAAACUGCAGGACUUGAAUCGCUGAGGGGCAGCCAGAAUUCCAGGUGUAGGGGUGAAAUCUGUAGAUAUCUGGAAGAAUACCAAUGGCGAAGGCAGGCUGCCAGCAGAUGAUUGACGCUGAGGUACGAAGGUGCGGGGAGCAAACAGGAUUAGAUACCCUGGUAGU
This 424-nucleotide ribosomal RNA is filed under the name uncultured Treponema sp. RNAcentral describes it as "bacterial SSU rRNA". It matches the Rfam family "Bacterial small subunit ribosomal RNA", at positions 355 to 794 of the family's 1533-position model. The record is from RNAcentral. Lineage: Bacteria; Pseudomonadati; Spirochaetota; Spirochaetia; Treponematales; Treponemataceae.